Molecule: ribosomal RNA, 905 nt
Filed under: Lacticaseibacillus paracasei
Lineage: Bacteria; Bacillati; Bacillota; Bacilli; Lactobacillales; Lactobacillaceae
Description: bacterial SSU rRNA
Rfam family: Bacterial small subunit ribosomal RNA
Source: RNAcentral
CACAAUGGACGCAAGUCUGAUGGAGCAACGCCGCGUGAGUGAAGAAGGCUUUCGGGUCGUAAAACUCUGUUGUUGGAGAAGAAUGGUCGGCAGAGUAACUGUUGUCGGCGUGACGGUAUCCAACCAGAAAGCCACGGCUAACUACGUGCCAGCAGCCGCGGUAAUACGUAGGUGGCAAGCGUUAUCCGGAUUUAUUGGGCGUAAAGCGAGCGCAGGCGGUUUUUUAAGUCUGAUGUGAAAGCCCUCGGCUUAACCGAGGAAGCGCAUCGGAAACUGGGAAACUUGAGUGCAGAAGAGGACAGUGGAACUCCAUGUGUAGCGGUGAAAUGCGUAGAUAUAUGGAAGAACACCAGUGGCGAAGGCGGCUGUCUGGUCUGUAACUGACGCUGAGGCUCGAAAGCAUGGGUAGCGAACAGGAUUAGAUACCCUGGUAGUCCAUGCCGUAAACGAUGAAUGCUAGGUGUUGGAGGGUUUCCGCCCUUCAGUGCCGCAGCUAACGCAUUAAGCAUUCCGCCUGGGGAGUACGACCGCAAGGUUGAAACUCAAAGGAAUUGACGGGGGCCCGCACAAGCGGUGGAGCAUGUGGUUUAAUUCGAAGCAACGCGAAGAACCUUACCAGGUCUUGACAUCUUUUGAUCACCUGAGAGAUCAGGUUUCCCCUUCGGGGGCAAAAUGACAGGUGGUGCAUGGUUGUCGUCAGCUCGUGUCGUGAGAUGUUGGGUUAAGUCCCGCAACGAGCGCAACCCUUAUGACUAGUUGCCAGCAUUUAGUUGGGCACUCUAGUAAGACUGCCGGUGACAAACCGGAGGAAGGUGGGGAUGACGUCAAAUCAUCAUGCCCCUUAUGACCUGGGCUACACACGUGCUACAAUGGAUGGUACAACGAGUUGCGAGACCGCGAGGUCA